Bos taurus (domestic cattle) is the source of this 1548-nucleotide long non-coding RNA. Lineage: Eukaryota; Metazoa; Chordata; Mammalia; Artiodactyla; Bovidae. The record is from Ensembl.
GCUGUGGGCAGCAGUGAAGACCCAGCAUAACCAAAAAAAAAGGGUAUAGACAACCGGACCUGACUGGUCACUGUCCGUGUGGCCCUUGAUCACCCCUGAGCAGCCAGGGUGUCAGGUGUCUCCCUGAGAAGUCAUUUGCCUCCUCUCCACAGUCCUCUUGAGAAGAAAGUCAUGAAGCACAACCUACACUUAAGGAAUUGUGCUUCCCCUUUUUAAUUUUUAAGGUCAUAAAAUGGUAUAAAAAUCCAAUUUUAAAUCAGUUGACAUGGAGGCAAAACAAAAAGCCAUUGUUAACAGCCUCUUGCGUUUCCUUCCUGGAAUUUUUUUCAAGGCAUUUUCAAGUCACUAUUUUCAUCUCCACCCUGCCACCCACUCCUCACCUUUUUUUUUUUUUUUCCUUUUUAAAAGGGGGGAUCAUAUUUGACUUCACGGAAUCUAUCAUUUUGAAAUCAUGCCACUAAAGAAGAUAAAGCAACGUGACUGUUUAAUAACAUGAUCUGACCUGUGGAGCAUUUCAAAAGCACCUGAAGCUUUUUCAGCAAACACUGCCUCCCUUUUCAUUUCCUCUAUCAGCGCUGAAAAUAGUUGGAGUUUUUUUUUUUUCUCUCUCUUAAUUCCAUGCAUUAAAAAAAAGAGAUUCUUCUCGACAGAAGGUGUUAAUUCAGGCACUAAAUCUGGAACAUUCUAAUCACUGUGAAGUUUUGUGUGUCUCAUCUUUGGCAGAAAACGUGUGAAGAUGAGAGCUUAUUCCUUACACCUUACAGCUCCUGAAGCGGCUCUGCAGAAGCUCAUCACUUACACCCUCCCACACUUGAGUCACCUCCCACCUCCUGACCUCGUGUUCCCAGCUUCAGGGUUUCCAGAAGCCCACCUAGUUCCCUCUCAUCUUGCAGGAGGGGCUGCCUUAGCUGAUGCACCCCAAAUCUGCCUUCUCCUCCCAAGCGUCUCCCCUGUACAAUUUUGAACUGCAGAAGUCACAAGUGAAUUCCUCUGUAUUCGUUUCCUGUGGCUGCUUUAACGAACCACCACCAACUUACACACAAAUUCACUCUUCCACUGUUCUGGAUAUCAAGAGGCUGAAGUCAGGAAGUCCUAAGCGGAAGGACCCUGUGAUCACAUUGACCUCACCUGGAUGACCAGGAGACGCCUCAUCUCAAGGGCUUUAACUGAACACACCUGCCAAGCCCUUCUGGCCUCAUAAGGCAAUGUGACAGGAGUCAUCCUGAAAGAAGAACAGAGAGAGAAAAGGAGGGAAAAGGAAAAAAAGAAUGACACGGGGAGACCAAGCUUCGCUUCCUGCGUGUCAACACUAUCGGCACUUCAUCUGGCAAUCCAGGCCUUCUGUUUGCGCUCAAUCGACCUGCACCUGUUUACACUCUUUUGCAAGCCAUCUGCAACCUUUUCCACCUGGGUUUGAUCUGUCCCUGCCAAUGAAUUGUAAACUAGGACAAAACAACAAACAAACCAAGGGACACUGGUUCGAUCCCUGGUCUGGGAGGAUCCCACGUGCCUCUCAGCAACCGAGUCCGUGAGCCACAACUACUGAAG